This 1059-nucleotide ribosomal RNA is filed under the name Salmonella enterica. RNAcentral describes it as "partial 23S ribosomal RNA". It matches the Rfam family "Bacterial large subunit ribosomal RNA", at positions 161 to 1260 of the family's 2925-position model. RNAcentral also lists the same sequence under 1 other name. The record is from RNAcentral. Lineage: Bacteria; Pseudomonadati; Pseudomonadota; Gammaproteobacteria; Enterobacterales; Enterobacteriaceae.
AAUCCAUAGGUUAAUGAGGCGAACCGGGGGAACUGAAACAUCUAAGUACCCCGAGGAAAAGAAAUCAACCGAGAUUCCCCCAGUAGCGGCGAGCGAACGGGGAGGAGCCCAGAGCCUGAAUCAGCAUGUGUGUUAGUGGAAGCGUCUGGAAAGGCGCGCGAUACAGGGUGACAGCCCCGUACACAAAAGCGCAUGUGCUGUGAGCUCGAUGAGUAGGGCGGGACACGUGGUAUCCUGUCUGAAUAUGGGGGGACCAUCCUCCAAGGCUAAAUACUCCUGACUGACCGAUAGUGAACCAGUACCGUGAGGGAAAGGCGAAAAGAACCCCGGCGAGGGGAGUGAAAAAGAACCUGAAACCGUGUACGUACAAGCAGUGGGAGCACCCUUUGGGUGUGACUGCGUACCUUUUGUAUAAUGGGUCAGCGACUUAUAUUCUGUAGCAAGGUUAACCGAAUAGGGGAGCCGGAGGGAAACCGAGUCUUAACCGGGCGUUAAGUUGCAGGGUAUAGACCCGAAACCCGGUGAUCUAGCCAUGGGCAGGUUGAAGGUUGGGUAACACUAACUGGAGGACCGAACCGACUAAUGUUGAAAAAUUAGCGGAUGACCUGUGGCUGGGGGUGAAAGGCCAAUCAAACCGGGAGAUAGCUGGUUCUCCCCGAAAGCUAUUUAGGUAGCGCCUCGUGAAUUCAUCUCCGGGGGUAGAGCACUGUUUCGGCUAGGGGGCCAUCCCGGCUUACCAACCCGAUGCAAACUGCGAAUACCGGAGAAUGUUAUCACGGGAGACACACGGCGGGUGCUAACGUCCGUCGUGAAGAGGGAAACAACCCAGACCGCCAGCUAAGGUCCCAAAGUCAUGGUUAAGUGGGAAACGAUGUGGGAAGGCCCAGACAGCCAGGAUGUUGGCUUAGAAGCAGCCAUCAUUUAAAGAAAGCGUAAUAGCUCACUGGUCGAGUCGGCCUGCGCGGAAGAUGUAACGGGGCUAAACCAUGCACCGAAGCUGCGGCAGCGACACUGUGUGUUGUUGGGUAGGGGAGCGUUCUGUAAGCCUGUGAAGGUGUG